This is a long non-coding RNA of Mus musculus (house mouse), 5179 nucleotides long. RefSeq annotates it as predicted gene, 26974. The record is from RefSeq and is a predicted model, not a curated record. The transcript is spliced from 4 exons. NCBI's taxonomy places the organism in Eukaryota, Metazoa, Chordata, Mammalia, Rodentia, Muridae.
GGCGGGGGCUCCGCGGCGGAUCCCGGGGGCUCCUGCAGCGCCAGCGGGAACUGCAGCGAACCCGAGCCGCCCAGCAGGCUGUAGCACAGUCCACAGAGUUCACUGAAGUGUAACUUCCUAAACUGCUGAGAACAUGACAGCUGUGACUCAAAGCCUGCUCAGGAGGACUCUAGCUUGUCAUACCUAGAGAAACCUGCUCAUAUGUGCUUAUUGCCACACAGCCAAGACACAGAGCCAGCCUAUAUGUCCCGCAGCAGAUGAAGAGAUAAAGAAAUCUGAUGAAUGAAACCACGACAUUUUUCAGAAAUAUUGAUGGAGCAGCAGGUCAUCAUGGCUUUCCCUGGGAACUUGGUCCGUUUGUCUCAGCCACAGGCUUGAAGCCCUCCCAGUCACUGAUUCCUCACACAGUCCAUUCAACUCCUUCAGUUGCUCAUGGAGGCCCUCUGUGCCCUCUACACUUGAGCUAUUUUAAUUUGACAUAAUUUAUAUAUUCCGGCACUACAAUUAAAUAGUAUGUCUUUAAAUAAGCCAAGAGUCUAUUGUCUUUUGGGCCCAAGGAAUUUUCCAACCAUGAUUUGAUCAAAGCAAGCAAACAAAUAAAGCAGAAACACUUUCAUAAGGAAAUAAACAUGUUCAGAAAUGUAAUUCUGUCUGCCAGUAAAUACCACAAUUAGAAGAUAUCUUCCUUUUUUAUUAUUUUUUGUUGUUUUUGUAAUUACAAAAUAAAAUAUGAAUACAUAUUCUUAAGUUAAACAAAAAAUAAAUCCAAGAUUACAGAUGUAAUUGGAGGCUUCUCUAUUAACAAAUAUUGAGUUUACAAUUUCUCAGAGAUAUAAUGAAAGCUACUCUUCAAAUUAAAAUUACAUCAGGUCUGCUGCUGACACAUAAAGUGGCCACGUUUGCUUGGGGCUUUGUGCCUUUGCUCCUGUUUCUCAGAUUUUAAGGCAAAAGCCCUGCUCUUAACUCCAAAAGGCCAGGUCCAUCUGGCCACUGUCCCAAAUAAUGGGAGAAACAGAGAGGGGAGGGAACCUAUUCAGUUUGGUCACAUGGGGAAGAGAGACAGUGGAAGGGUCCAUGUCUGUCUUUGGGAUACAGACAUGAAUAUUAGGUUUAAACAGUGGGCAGGAGGUAUGCACAAGUAAGCAGUCCUGGUCAGGAUGCUGUCUCUCCUCCCUAUGUCCAGCAUCAUUUCCUCAGCUCUGGUCCUACAAGCCUGCCUGUUAGGAUGUUGGUCUGUUAAGUUCCUAUGUGCUGAAGGUACAUCUUUACCCUCAGCGCUGACAGUCACCUCUGAUUCUGGAAUCUGUCCUGGUAGGUUUUGUUUCUCCUACAACUGGGGGUGCCUCAAAAAAUGUUAAGGACAAGAAUCUAUCGAUCUCUGUGCCUGGAGCUGAAGUCCAGACAUGAAAUUAAAGCACAGGCACCCGACGUCACCCCACUUUUACCUCCCUCAUGGGCCUGUGUGAGGAGGCAAUGCUUUGUGUAGAUGCAACAUCCAAUGCCUGUUUCUUUCCGUCUGGGGUAGAUCCACAACACUUAUGAAGAUGGUUUAGACACAUCGUAUAGGAUGUAAAUAAAAACCUGUAGGAAUACUAGAAACAUCAUUUAAACAGGACGCCUGACACAGGAGGGAAAAGCAUCCACAGGGAGAUUUACAGAGAUGAAAGGGGAGAAUGCAGAGGCAGGCACUGCUCCCCCAGAACUCCUGGCAGGUGCAAGAGGUUUGAAGAAUGGAUCAUGCGUGAGAAGAUGGUAGCGGUGCUGUGGAAUAAGCCAUAAUCAUCACAAAACUGGGAGACAUGGUUUGACUAAGGGAGAAGGAGGGAAACACAGAGCAAGCGGCAACAGAUUUAAUAUGAAAGUCGGAUCCCUAUCACUGGGGACAACUGACAGUGCUAAGAUGGACAGAUGGAUGAUGGAUGGAUAGACAGAGCUGUACACUGCCUGGACUCCAGGUCUCCGGGAUCUAUCCCACCAGGGGUCCAGACACUUCUGAAACUCCACACACCCUCAAUGCAGACAGAAAACCAGCAAAGGGUGGCCACAAACUGCUAUGGAAUGACAUCUAACACUAGGACAGGUCUUUCAGCUGUAGAGCACCACCACCACCAAACAGGUCUAAAGAAGACAGAAUCCAUCCUUUGGAGAAAGUAAAUCUGCUUGAAACUAUAGGCCCAAGGAGAAGAAUAUGCCAGCUUCUCAGACCUCAGAGAAAGGGAUCCACAAUUUAAUUCUGUUGAGCAGAAAUGCAGGGGUGGCCAUGAGUUUAAAUCGAUCCCAACUACUUGGAACCUAAAAACAUAAGGUCUUCCAAGCAUCUUAUCAGAAUCUAAUAUGUUCCGGCGGGUAAACAUCUCUUCCCCAGAAGCUCUUACUUGCAGUUUGGUCCCCUCCCUCUUUUUUUCUACCAUAAAUACAGUUGGAUUGUGCAAUCCACAGCCAAAGCGAGCAGUGUCUUGUCUUGCAGAAAUCCUUUAUCAUCUGUUUUGUGUACGCGCCGAGCAGUGAUCAGGUGAUCCCAGAAGUUCACAGCUAAGAAGAAACAAGCAUAAAAAAAAGGCAUAGUACAGCAUGAAUUCUUUUGCGUUGGUGUUGAUCUGGCUGUCUCAAUCUCAGGCCUCCUUGCAUCUUCCUCACCCCUGGUGGACUCGAUGGGGUGGAUUCUAGCUGCUUAGUCUAUCUUAAGGCCCUUAGGGGAAUAGGUACCCAUCUCUUUGGCUGUGCCUCCACCUACCUCCUUGAGUGGCUGAACAAUCUCUCUGAACCCAGGAAAGAAAUGUUCACAGUGUACUCAGAUGAGACAGCUGCACAUUCCAUAAUCAAGCUUAGCCCCUUCACCUGUUUGGUUUUCCUCUCUGCUUAUGAGCUGCUGCUUAUCAACUCUGGUACCCAAGAGGGUCUCAUCUGACUCAGCGAACUGGGUACUCUAUAUCACUUAAAAAACAAAACAAAACAAAACAAAACAACAAAAACAUUCUCUUGAACUUUUUUUUAUGGCUUCCAAGUUUUUGAGCCCUGGAAAGUCUCUUUAGUACAGAUCUUUUUCUCAUAUCCUGCUUUAACAAACAGAAAGACAGCAUCCCCCCCCCCCAGCUCAUCCUCUCUUACACAAUGCACUUUGCCACUGUGCAGUCACCUCAGCCUAAAACACAUGUUUUAUUUCUUUCCUACACACAGCAGUGGACACCACCACAACCUCUAUGGCAGCCUGUGGACACUCUCAUUCCUAAUAUGUUGCUCUUACAAACUGAAAAUUUUAUUUUAAAUCAUAAGUUUAUCAGAACACCUCUGUACCCACAUACCAGAAUGCAUUCACCAAACUGGCAUGCCACUCUGUGAAGAAGACAGCAUCACCAGGAUUUCCCAUACACCACUCACCCAGACUUCCCACUGGAUAAAUGCUGCCUGUGCUCUGGACCCUACCUGCCCUUGUGGGGUUAGAGGUGAGUUGGUACAGAGUUAAUGACAUAGACUCUGGGAGUAUAGUGAGAAAUGCUACAGCAAGCUCAUCUGAGCACUGCUGCAAGCUCCUUUAACACCCUCCACGCGUGCCCCGUUGGUUCCAAGAAAGCAUCUCUUCUAAACAGCAGUUCCCAAUUGACUGGCAUUGUCUGCACCAGCAAUUCUUGGUUUCUCAGGCAGUCUUCAAUUAGGUCCUCCUGUGGGAGCUGCUUUUGCAGCUGUGUGGCCAGGCAUUUACAUAGAGAUAGCCAACACUGUUCCUCCUACAGAUAAGGAGUCAGCAUCUUUUCCAUGCCUCAAGACCCACUGCAGGGGCCAUGCAACCACUGACAUAGGAACAAGGCAAGUCUCUUAUAUCACAUCACCAUUUCAGGAUUUUACCCUCCUGGUGCCUAACCCUCAGUUCCCUUCCUUGAUACAUAUAGGCAGGACGAUGCAAUCAUUCCUCCCCAAUUCAUCUUGAAUUCUGCCAGGUCCCUGUUUGGGUGCCAACAGUUUUGUGACAGAUGUUUACUGGGGAGACACAGACACAUCUAUUCCCCCCAUCCAACAAAAAAGAAGCUCACAAGAGACCAAAGUAACAAUUGCAUCAGUGACCCACUUGGCGGACCAGUGGUUAUUUAUUUAUUUAUUUAUUUAUUUUGUGAUUACUGACAGCAUGGGUGAGAAGUUGCUUACAGGGUCAGCACACCAUUGUAACUGUGACUUCAAAGCCUUCACUCACGCACAGACCUUCCUGGUCCCCAGUGCUGGCGACAGUCUCCAUGUUCCCUGGGGUCUUCAUGUCUAUUUGCGUACAGGGAAAGACUCUGUCUUUUUAUCAGCCUAACUCCAAAUGAAGUAGGAUAUAAUAAGGCCCCCUUAGUGCAUAGCAUUCUCAGUUCUCCAUGAUAUAAGGCCCAGGUUCCUUAGAACAGGACAACAAGCAAGUCUUCUGUGACUAAGCUGUUGUGCCAACCCCCUACUCAUUUCUUGCCACUUAUUCCAAAGGCAUUCCAGAUUAUUAAUCUUUCUUCAAAGAUGCUGAGUAAUUGUGACCUUUCGAUUUUUCCUACUUCCGGUCCAUCUGCUUGAAAAGCUGCCCCAGCAGGCUGGGGAGCAGAACUGCAGAAGAAGCCUUACCUCUCUGGAGUAACCAAGAUGUCCCAAGCAACACUGAUGCCACAGCGUUGUGGCCCACAGAGCAGUGCACAAAGAAUCAUUAUAAGCUAAUCCUGAUGUGUCUUACCCGUGUGUGCCUGCGUUUUCCUCUACUGCUCCAUAGCAUGGACUUCACAUGCCCUAUGCAUAUCAUGCAUCUAAUCUUCAUAUCUGCACAAGCAAUUAUUGCAGACUUUCCAUAGGGGUUUUUGUCUUUUAAUGAUAAAAAUGGAUGGACACAAAAUUACUGAUUUGGAGAUGUUUAUUCAAAUAAUUACUGUGAAUAUAUAUUCUUAGAUUUCUUUCUUUUAUCACUAUAGCUACUACCUUUACAUUUUCCUCUAAAAUUUUUUCACAUAUGUUUUUUGGUUUACGGGGGUUGUUGUUGUUGUUGUUGCUGCUGCUGCUGUUGCUACUGCUGCUGCUGUUUUGGACAUGGUUUUGCUAUAUAAAUCAAGAGCAGCCUGAAAGUCAUGACCACCAUACCUAAUAUUAACCUUUUGUUACUCUAACUGUGCCAAACUACUGCAUUUUCACUAAACUUUUAAUAAAGUCCAUGAUGUAUGCACUUAAUUUA